GUGCUCACUUUAGCGGCACAAAUACUAAAACUGGAACGGUACAGAGAAGAUUGGCAUGGCCCCUGUGCAAGGAUGACACGCAAAUUCGUGAAGCAGUCCCUAUUUUU
Small nuclear RNA from Eptesicus fuscus (big brown bat), 107 nucleotides. The record is from RefSeq and is a predicted model, not a curated record. Lineage: Eukaryota; Metazoa; Chordata; Mammalia; Chiroptera; Vespertilionidae.